This 787-nucleotide long non-coding RNA is filed under the name Ananas comosus (pineapple). RNAcentral describes it as "long non-coding RNA (ACOM_LNC002480)". Lineage: Eukaryota; Viridiplantae; Streptophyta; Magnoliopsida; Poales; Bromeliaceae. The record is from RNAcentral.
CACCCCAAUCUAUUCUUCAAUUUAAAAUAAGCCCUCUAAUUUUAACUUUUUAAUUAAAAAAAAUUACUUAUAGAAUAACUAUCAAAACUAUAAAAUUUGAUUAAACUUUUAACUCAAAUUGUUAAAAUAAUUCAACCCUAUAAAUAUUGACAGUAAAGAAAAAAAAUUAUAGUGCUCGUAAGAUUAUUUUAUAGAUUUUUUUUUAUUUUCUAAUAUAAUUUUUUACUUUUAAAUUUUAAUAAUUAUAUAUUUUAACUGAUUUCCAUCCACCGCGAAGCGCGGCCCUAUACUAGUUCAUAUUAAUUUAGCUGUUUAACUCUUCUUUACAUAUGUGGGUGGAUGGGAGUUGGAAAGGUGGCACUGCCGGUGGUGUAGAAUGCCUGAUCACCAAUCACCAUGGAAUCAUAAUGUGCAUAUCCUAUGUAAUGCAGGGGUUCAUGACUCUGCGAAAAUUGGAGCAAAUUUUCAAGUGACAAAUCUUUUGUUGUAAAGGUAUCCAGAAGAAACUUUUCAUAUCUACUCAGAUUUAGCACUUAUCAUUAAAGCCUUGUACCUUAGAAGCUAUUAUUCAGAUUUGCUAACAGUUGAAGCUCGAACAAGAAUCACAUAUCUUUGGACUUUUCUAGAAAGAUCUAAGCAAUUUAGCUAUGUAUGGUCUUCAAGAUAUUCUAAAAAUGCUAUAGUUGCGGAUUGCUUGGCGAGUUGGGGAGUCAUUAGCAACAAUUUUUUUUUUGGUCCUCUGUAGAUGAAUUCACUCAAGCUGUACCUCUCGAUUGAUAAAUAAAAU